AAUCAACGCUGGCGGCGUGCCUGAGACAUGCAAGUCGAACGAUUAAACUUUCCUUCGGGAAAGAUAUAAAGUGGCGCACGGGUGAGUAACACGUAGGUAAUGUACCUUUGGGUGGGAAGUAACCAUCGGAACGAUGGCUAAUACCGCAUAAUGCAGCGGCAUCGCAAGAUGCAGUUGUUAAAGAUUUAUCGCCUAAAGAGCAGCCUGCGGCAGAUUAGGUAGGGUUAAGGUAAUGGCUUACCAAGCCUGCGAUCU
This 255-nucleotide ribosomal RNA is filed under the name uncultured bacterium. RNAcentral describes it as "partial 16S ribosomal RNA". It matches the Rfam family "Bacterial small subunit ribosomal RNA", at positions 32 to 282 of the family's 1533-position model. The record is from RNAcentral.